UACCUUUUUCGGAGGGUAGAAGAAGCAUUCAUGCAUCAGUAGCGAUAAUUAAGGUGAGAAGCCUCAACGCCGAAAACCCAAGGUUUCAUACGCGAUGCUCGUCAUAGUAGGGUUAGUCGGGUCCUAAGUCGAGACUGAAAAGUCUCCCUUUAAUUCAAAUUGGUUAAUUUCCAAUACCAACUUAUAAGCGCGAUUGGGGAUGCUAUAGUUUAUUUGAGCCCAGAUGGUAUUUU
RNAcentral lists this ribosomal RNA (233 nucleotides) under uncultured Arcobacter sp. RNAcentral describes it as "partial 16S ribosomal RNA". It matches the Rfam family "Bacterial large subunit ribosomal RNA", at positions 1265 to 1507 of the family's 2925-position model. Lineage: Bacteria; Pseudomonadati; Campylobacterota; Epsilonproteobacteria; Campylobacterales; Arcobacteraceae. The record is from RNAcentral.